CCGGGAUAACUCCGGGAAACCGGAGCUAAUACCGGAUAACACCAAAGACCGCAUGGUCUUUGGUUGAAAGGCGGCUUCGGCUGCCACUUGCGGAUGGGCCCGCGGCGCAUUAGCUAGUUGGUGAGGUAACGGCUCACCAAGGCGACGAUGCGUAGCCGGCCUGAGAGGGUGACCGGCCACACUGGGACUGAGACACGGCCCAGACUCCUACGGGAGGCAGCAGUAGGGAAUCUUCCGCAAUGGACGAAAGUCUGACGGAGCGACGCCGCGUGAGCGAAGAAGGCCUUCGGGUCGUAAAGCUCUGUUGUGAGGGACGAAGGAGCGCCGUUUGAAUAAGGCGGCGCGGUGACGGUACCUCACGAGAAAGCCCCGGCUAACUACGUGCCAGCAGCCGCGGUAAUACGUAGGGGGCGAGCGUUGUCCGGAAUUAUUGGGCGUAAAGCGCGCGCAGGCGGUCCUUUAAGUCUGAUGUGAAAGCCCACGGCUCAACCGUGGAGGGUCAUUGGAAACUGGGGGACUUGAGUGCAGGAGAGGAGAGCGGAAUUCCACGUGUAGCGGUGAAAAUGCGUAGAGAUGUGGAGGAACACCAGUGGCGAAGGCGGCUCUCUGGCCUGUAACUGACGCUGAGGCGCGAAAGCGUGGGAGCAAACAGGAUUAGAUACCCUGGUAGUCCACGCCGUAAACGAUGAGUGCUAAGUGUUAGAGGGGGUCACACCCUUUAGUGCUGUAGCUAACGCGAUAAAGCACUCCGCCUGGGGAGUACGGCCCGCAAGGCUGAAACUCAAAGGAAUUGACGGGGGCCCCGCACAAGCGGUGGAGCAUGUGGUUUAAUUCGAAGCAACGCGAAGAACCUUACCAGGUCUUGACAUCCCCUGACAACCCAAGAGAUUGGGCGUUCCCCCUUCGGGGGGACAGGGUGACAGGUGGUGCAUGGUUGUCGUCAGCUCGUGUCGUGAGAUGUUGGGUUAAGUCCCGCAACGAGCGCAACCCUUGCCUCUAGUUGCCAGCAUUCAGUUGGGCACUCUAGAGGGACUGCCGGCUAAAAGUCGGAGGAAGGUGGGGAUGACGUCAAAUCAUCAUGCCCCUUAUGACCUGGGCUACACACGUGCUACAAUGGGCGGUACAAAGGGCUGCGAACCCGCGAGGGGGAGCGAAUCCCAAAAAGCCGCUCUCAGUUCGGAUUGCAGGCUGCAACUCGCCUGCAUGAAGCCGGAAUCGCUAGUAAUCGCGGAUCAGCAUGCCGCGGUGAAUACGUUCCCGGGCCUUGUACACACC
This 1275-nucleotide ribosomal RNA is filed under the name Geobacillus thermodenitrificans. RNAcentral's name for it is "bacterial SSU rRNA". It matches the Rfam family "Bacterial small subunit ribosomal RNA", at positions 138 to 1391 of the family's 1533-position model. Lineage: Bacteria; Bacillati; Bacillota; Bacilli; Caryophanales; Anoxybacillaceae. The record is from RNAcentral.